This 252-nucleotide ribosomal RNA is filed under the name uncultured Allobaculum sp. RNAcentral's name for it is "partial 16S ribosomal RNA". It matches the Rfam family "Bacterial small subunit ribosomal RNA", at positions 524 to 776 of the family's 1533-position model. Lineage: Bacteria; Bacillati; Bacillota; Erysipelotrichia; Erysipelotrichales; Erysipelotrichaceae. The record is from RNAcentral.
UACGGAGGAUGCGAGCGUUAUCCGGAUUUAUUGGGUUUAAAGGGUGCGUAGGCGGGCUGUUAAGUCUGGAGUGAAAGGUACCGGCUCAACCGGUACAGGCUCUGGAAACUGGCGGGCUAGAGAGCAGGAGAGGGCGGUGGAAUUCCAAGUGUAGCAGUGAAAUGCGUAGAUAUUUGGAAGAACACCGAUGGCGAAGGCAGCCCCCUGGGACGCAACUGACGCUCAUACACGAAAGCGUGGGGAGCAAAUAGG